Molecule: long non-coding RNA, 517 nt
Filed under: Brassica napus (rape)
Lineage: Eukaryota; Viridiplantae; Streptophyta; Magnoliopsida; Brassicales; Brassicaceae
Description: long non-coding RNA (BNAP_LNC024803)
Source: RNAcentral
CAUGCAUAAACGCCAAAAUAUGGUAUUCGUUGCGAGGUUUCUUAUUUCUGAAAUAUUAAUACGGAGUACCCGCUUGUUAUUUUUCAAGUGAUUCAUACCGCAUUUUAAAACAGUGGUCGUUUGCAAUUUGGAGUUUAGAGUAAAAUAAUUUAUUAACUAUUGUGUUUUGAAGAAAUUAAUGAUUUAUUUUUACUUUUAAUUAAAAUCUGUUUACUUUUAUAUUUUUCUUUUUUGCUUGUUUUGUUUUUAUACCUGAAUAGUUUUCUAAUUGAGUGUUAGGGUUUAAAAUGGAUUCAUGAUUUGUUGGACUAAUAUUAUUGAACUAGAAUUUAUCAGUUAGUUCUUCAUCUACUAUUUUCUUUACUUGCAAAACUUGUCUGAUUAUAUCCAGUUUUUGAUCGUUAGUAAAUGAACACAUCGAAUGUGCUUGUUGACUUGCUCAAAAUAACAUUUUCGACAUCUGCUUGAAAGAACUUACAUAUUUGUUUAAUAAUAUGUCAACAAAAUUUCUUAAAGC